RNAcentral lists this ribosomal RNA (492 nucleotides) under uncultured bacterium. Its description in RNAcentral is "partial 16S ribosomal RNA". It matches the Rfam family "Bacterial small subunit ribosomal RNA", at positions 29 to 507 of the family's 1533-position model. The record is from RNAcentral.
AGUGAACGCUGGCGGUAGGCCUAACACAUGCAAGUCGAACGGCAGCACAGUAAGAGCUUGCUCUUACGGGUGGCGAGUGGCGGACGGGUGAGGAAUACAUCGGAAUCUACUUUUUCGUGGGGGAUAACGUAGGGAAACUUACGCUAAUACCGCAUACGACCUACGGGUGAAAGCAGGGGAUCUUCGGACCUUGCGCGAUUGAAUGAGCCGAUGUCGGAUUAGCUAGUUGGCGGGGUAAAGGCCCACCAAGGCGACGAUCCGUAGCUGGUCUGAGAGGAUGGUCAGCCACACGGGAGCUGAGACACGGUCCAGACUCCUACGGGAGGCAGCAGUGGGGAAUAUUGGACAAAGGGCGCAAGCCUGAUCCAGCCAUACCGCGUGGGUGAAGAAGGCCUUCGGGUUGUAAAGCCCUUUUGUUGGGAAAGAAAAGCAGCAGGUUAAUACCCCGCUGUUCUGACGGUACCCAAAGAAUAAGCACCGGCUAACUUCGUG